UCUUCUUUGGAUCGUUCUUGCGGGGCUGGUGUUGCUGCUCGAGCGAGAUCGAUUGGUUUUGGACUUGGAUUGCUUGGCUUUGCUUCGAGUGAUCCACGCUUGAUAUCCUUUCAUGGUGGAAUGCAAAUCACUGAGGUACAGGCGUGGAUUACCGGCUCGUGCUUGCUGAGAGAGAAAGGAUGGGAUUGCUUGCCUGAUCAUUGCGGUUUGUGGGCUUCUCAAGAUUGUGGUUUUUUUUUUCUUUCUUUUUUUUUCUUUCACUUUCGCUGCUGUUGAUGGUUCUGGUGAUGUUGUCUCGAGGGAAGACGCUCGCUUGCGCUGGCUGGCUGUUUUGCUGCCUGCGCUGCUUUCAUUCACUCUCUCUUUCAAUGGGCUCGCCUUUGUUUGCUUGCUCCUUUUGCUUUUCUGAAUCUAUCUGUCUGCAUCCACCACUUGGUCCAUCCCUCGCUUUGGCAUUUUGCUUCCUUUGAUGUUUGCCUCUCCAACUGCAGGGCUGCUCGUUUCACUGAUCCCCACUCCAGCUUUCAUUCUCUCUUUUCAAUCGUCGCAUAGUUCUCGUCCUCCUUCGCUUUCCAUGGCGUUGUUGAGAGAAAAGCCAGUGUGGUCGUUUCCAAAUCGUCCUUGUGCACCCUCCCUGCAAAUUCCCGUCCGUGACAGAAUCCCAAAGCUCGAUUCUUUCCGCCCACAGUCAUGUCCUCUUCAUUUCGCUCAUUUACUGCAAUUCUUGGGGUUUGAAAGCACGCGUGCGUCGAGAAUUCGAUCCGAGCCGCGGAGGACUUGAGAAGCAACGUCAGCAAUCGGCGCUGGGAGAGACAAUGAAGGAAGAAUCUGUGCUGGAGGGGAGUCAUUCAAUUUGAGGGGCGAACUAUUCGGGCACAGGUACUUAAAUGAGAUCGAUUUUGGAAUUCCUCAGAGCUUACAACAAUGCAGGAUCUCUCCCACCAGAUUUCCCCUCCUGCUUGCUUUUGUUGUUUUGUUGGGGAGGAUUUAACCGCCCGCUCAACAGCUUAUACAUUUGACUUCACAGAGAGGAGCUCCUUUUCUUUCCUGUGAUCCUCGAUUUAAACAGUUUUCUAGCAGAGAUUGUCGUUUCCUCCAUAAUCAAUUAGUACAAGCAAAGCAAAGCCAAGCAAAGCAAAGCCAAGCAAAGCUUGUUUAUCAUUUCUCAACAUUCCAGCAGCCAUAUAUAUAUAUAUAUUUCAAGCAAGGUAGCUGAUAGUGAGAGCGGGGGGGAUGUUCAGAAGUGUUGCAAGUGACUCAGAUUGUAAGAGAGCGAGGAUCAGAAGAGGUUGAUAGAUAGAUGCUGUUUAUGGUUACUAAAGUGCCCUUUUGGGGCAUGGGGUUAGAAGAUUGGAAAUUACAUUACUGGAAAUAAUAAUAGGAAAUUCUUGGCUCCA
Molecule: long non-coding RNA, 1397 nt
Organism: Selaginella moellendorffii
Lineage: Eukaryota; Viridiplantae; Streptophyta; Lycopodiopsida; Selaginellales; Selaginellaceae
Exons: 2
Source: RefSeq, a predicted model, not a curated record